GUGACCUGGCUGAAGUCGGACGCUUAACCGACUGCGCCACCCAGGCGCCCCAAACAUUUUUAAAUAUUUUGAAAAAUACUUUAUUAAAUGUCUCAGGUGUCUUGUCAUGUUUGUUUCAGGGUACUUAUGCCCACUCUGCAGCUAGAAACAGAAGUCACUGGAGACCUUGUUUCCUUUGGAUGGAUCUUUCCUCAUGUGAAGGGUGUGGGCAUGAUUCAGACGGAAGCAGGCAUUUUAUGGCCAUGUAUCUGCCAGGAGCCCAGCAGGAACACAGAAGCCCGUUGAGAGAUUCCAAGGAGGAAGGUCUUGGGGGGAUAGGCAACCGUUGGACAAGGUAGGGCAGUAAGAGUCAGGGAAACUUCUGCUCAAAGGGAGGAUUUGAGGGAGUUGGCCAAGAGGCCGUGGCAACCCUCAUAAGCCUCUGGGAGCUGCCACCAUUGAUUUAGCUGCUGUAGUAUAAAGUGUGUGAUUCCUAGAUGCUUGUGCAGCAGAUGCGGCUAAACUUGUGUCUGUUUUCCCACAAAGCUGUUCUCAACUGCCACUAGAGAAUAACGGCUUCUUCUCUUGCACAUCUCAUGAGGAUGCCCCUCGUUGGCUGCUGACUCUCGCCUGGAACUAUAUGGAGAAAGUGAUUCUAGAAGCUGUGUGUGGUCCCAGGCUUCUCCUUGCUACGCAUAGAAGCCCCAGAAGAAACUUAACAGAUGUGAAGAUAGAAAAUUCUUCACCAGAUGGUCCAUUUCCUGAUGGCCUGCACUUGACGACGUCUUGGAUUAUUUGCACCUUACUGUACUCUAUGAGUCAACGCCCCCCCCCCCUAAAAAAAACCCCGGCUACCAUUAAGGUCCCAUUGUCAUUGGGUAUACAACUCAUAUUCCAGGUGUCAAAAAUCAUUCAACAAAUAUUUCUUAAGCACCUUUUGUGUCAGGCUUACAGUUUCUGUGAUCAUCAUGAUACUUCAAUGCUUCUAACUCUGACAUUAUUAGGUUAGCAAAGUAUUUUAAAAUAUGUCAGUAAAAGCAUGCAUAUUAAUUAAAAUGUUCCCACAUAUAAGCCUUAAACUAACCUCCCUGGGCUGAUUGGAGACAAAAGACUUUUAUUAAAUACUGUUUGAUAGGUUAAGUAUUUUAGUAUCUCUGCCAAUCAUUGUUACAAAUGCAUACUGAAUAAAAAUGAAUAAAAGAAUAUUUAUUGCCAAGCA
This is a long non-coding RNA of Felis catus (domestic cat), 1198 nucleotides long. RefSeq lists it as uncharacterized. The transcript has 2 exons. Lineage: Eukaryota; Metazoa; Chordata; Mammalia; Carnivora; Felidae. The record is from RefSeq and is a predicted model, not a curated record.